UCUCCAAGCAGAUAGUGCAUAGAAUAAAUGAAAUGAUCGUUCUUAUCUUUUACAUGUUCAUUCUAUUAAUUCUUUGAGUGACUAAUUUGGUUACACUAGUUGUAAAUUGAUAUUUUUUAUGGAACAUAAGAUAUCACUGUCACAAACAAAAUUGAUGCAUACAAGAAUGCAGGAUGUAUCAUUCCAGAUUUGGUGAGACGCAGAGUUAUUGUGGGUCUUCAACCAUUGCAGAGGCUACGGACACCAGAGGUGGGAGGUCAUGUGGUUCUGCUGGCUUCAUUAGGUAGUGAUCUGCAACUCGCGUUGGAGCAGCUCAGUGUCAAGCAGUGGGAAUGAGGAUCGGCACUUCCAAGUCUGAGUCCAUGGUCCUCAGCCGGAAAAGGUGCGUUUUCACGCCUCUUCCACCAUCUGAUCUCCUGUCAGCAUGAUGCGGACUCCCUGACCAGUGACUUCAAUGUGGAGGAGCUGUCAUCCCUUAAUGCGGCUCUUGGACACUGCUGCCUAACCUCAUCUGUCAGCCUACCCAUCACUAUUGCAACCAGAAGGAAGCUCAGAGCUGAUCCCUGAUGUAUUCUUCACAUUGACCUGCACCACACAUCUCACUGUCCUUAUACAUCGCCUGUAUCAUCCUCAAAUACUUCUCUAUACCUCCUGACUUUCUCAGUUCCCCUCUUGGCAGCCUAUCAUAUGCCUUCUCUAGAAGACAAAGACACAGUGUAACUCCUUUUGUUCUUCUCUGUAUUUCCUCUCUCAACACUCAAAGAAAACACUGCAUCUGUAGUAUUCCUACAGCUCUUGACAAGGACCUGCUAAAGAUUCCAUCUGCAGUCAUCCUUGGCAUGCAGUCAUUCUGGUCCCGACCAAUCAUCUCACCUCUCUUUAUCCCAACUUUCAUAACUUUUUCCCAGAGGUUUGUGUUAUGGGCAUUGUCCAUGUCAAAGACACACAUCAGACACCUUCUGUUUUCACAGAUGGACUUUUUGCUUCUACAAAAAGGUGAAUCUGAAAGUUAAACUCAGAAAAAAGACAGAGCCAACUUUAAGCUUGACUGUUUUAUUUUGGUUUUACAGUAUUUGUGAAGAUGAAUUAUCAGAAAUCCACAGCCACAGUAUGUAAAAUUAAAAGGGACUGAGAAAGUAUCAAAGUUCCACAAAAACCUUAAACGGACACCGCAGCAUUAAGAUUUGUAAAGAGCACUUAACCAGCAAAUCUUUCAACUGUUGAAUCUCCUGAUUUGACAUUUGAAGAUGACUGGACCCCGGGCAGUUUAAGAUUAACACUGGCUGUCAUCAUAAUGACACUGAAAAAAUAUCCAGAAACUUUUUUUUUAAUGGUUUAUGUCAGAAAAUGUUCUUAAUAACAACAACAACUGUGUCAUUCCCGCAACUUUCAUAUUUCUCCUUUACUCUGUCAAAUAUCUAUCACUGAUCCAUAAACUACAUUUACUUUGAUAAAAUGUUAAUAAAACAAACUACACAAAAAUCACAAUGUAAACAGUAGUGAUCACCAACCCUUGUGUUGAAA
Long non-coding RNA from Oreochromis niloticus (Nile tilapia), 1524 nucleotides. RefSeq lists it as uncharacterized. The record is from RefSeq and is a predicted model, not a curated record. Lineage: Eukaryota; Metazoa; Chordata; Actinopteri; Cichliformes; Cichlidae. The transcript has 4 exons.